RNAcentral lists this ribosomal RNA (451 nucleotides) under uncultured bacterium. RNAcentral describes it as "partial 16S ribosomal RNA". It matches the Rfam family "Bacterial small subunit ribosomal RNA", at positions 354 to 796 of the family's 1533-position model. The record is from RNAcentral.
GUGGGGAAUAUUGCGCAAUGGGGGAAACCCUGACGCAGCGACGCCGCGUGAGCGAAGAAGGCCUUAGGGUUGUAAAGCUCUGUUUUAAGGGACGAAUGUCGUGGGGAGUAAUAUGCUCUGCGAAUGACGGUACCUUAAGAGGAAGCCCCGGCUAACUACGUGCCAGCAGCCGCGGUAAGACGUAGGGGGCGAGCGUUGUCCGGAAUUACUGGGCGUAAAGAGCACGUAGGCGGGAACUUAAGUCAGGUGUGAAAGACCGGGGCUCAACUCCGGGGUUGCACUUGAAACUGGGUUUCUUGAGGGCAGGAGAGGAAAGCAGAAUUCCUGGUGUAGCGGUGAAAUGCGUAGAAAUCAGGAGGAAUACCAGUGGCGAAGGCGGCUUUCUGGACUGACCCUGACGCUGAGGUGCGAAAGCGUGGGUAGCAAACAGGAUUAGAUACCCGGGUAGUCC